Molecule: RNase P RNA, 341 nt
Filed under: bovine gut metagenome
Description: Bacterial RNase P class A
Rfam family: Bacterial RNase P class A
About the family: Ribonuclease P (RNase P) is a ubiquitous endoribonuclease, found in archaea, bacteria and eukarya as well as chloroplasts and mitochondria. Its best characterised activity is the generation of mature 5'-ends of tRNAs by cleaving the 5'-leader elements of precursor-tRNAs. Cellular RNase Ps are ribonucleoproteins.
Source: RNAcentral
GUAGAACGGAUAAUCGCAGAUGCAAUUCCGAAAGGAAGCAUAUGAGGAAAGUCCGGGCUUCACAGGGCAGGAUGCCGGAUAACGUCCGGUAGAGGCGACUCUAAGGCAGUGCAACAGAAAUAUACCGCUUUAUGAAUUCAUAGAGUAAGGGUGGAAAGGCAGUUUAAGAGACUACCGCCGUUAUGGUAACAUAACGGGCACAUGUAAACCCCAUUCGAAGCAAGACCGAACAGAAAAGAUGGUUGCCCGCCAUUUUCGGGUAGGUUGCUUGAUUUAACCGGUAACGGUUAAACUAGAUAGAUGAUUAUCCAAGACAUAACCCGGCUUAUAGUUUUGCUCAA